Long non-coding RNA from Taeniopygia guttata (zebra finch), 2022 nucleotides. NCBI's taxonomy places the organism in Eukaryota, Metazoa, Chordata, Aves, Passeriformes, Estrildidae. The record is from Ensembl.
UUUUUUUUUUUUUUUUUUUUGCUAUACAACUCCCAUGUUUCCAGCUGAUUUAUUUAACUACAAAAACACUACAGUCUAAUUAAAUGUGCAUCAGUGUACACAGAGAUGGCCUUAAAAUGCUAGGAUAUUGCCUGACUUUUCUUCCACGAUAUCGUCUUCCAUCAGGAGAUUGUGUAGCCACUCCUGGCUUUGUACAAAUAUAGGUAUAAAAUGCAGAGAGAAAGCUGUCUGAGAAAUUCUGUUUGUUUGCAUCCCCAAUGGAUUCCAUGGGCAAUAUGGUGAGCCAAACCUUCAGGAGGCAGACUGUAGAAGUGCAGGAUACCUGAGGGGAAAGACCUGAGUUGAAAGUUUACCUUUCUUGAAAUGGAGGAUCAAAGAUCUGAAUGCCUCUGUCUGCAUCCCUUAUGCUUCCUGGAAAAAGACUCAGCUGCUGUCCAGAGGACCCAUGUUCAUCAAGGAACAUGACUUCCACAGUUCUGGUCAGAACACCUCCUUGUGCUCUGCAGUGAUUUGAGGCUGCCAGCACAUAUUCCAUGCCCCCUCCUUGAGGCGUGCUUUCACAGAUAGACCUUCUCUGAAAAAGCAUGGCAGCACAGGCUCAUACUGGGACCAAUUAGGUUUCACCAACAACACCAGCAGAGUGCCCUCUCACACAAUAGAGAAAUAAAUUUGGAGUAGCAGCCUUCCUAUCCCCAUGUCACCCCAUGGUGACAACCGAAGUAAUACAAGUGGUUUGCAAGUGGAUUGCUUAAUACAAGCAGCACCUAUGCUGAUAGGUUGAGUUGUUCAGGAAACACUUCUUUCCACACACAUCUGAGAACCUGAUCUAACACCACUCAGCCCAGAGCUGAAUCUGGCUUGGAAACUAUGUUGUUUCCUUGUACAGUAGAUUUCUCUGGGACAGGAGGCUGGCAUGGGAGUCUUCAUUGAGGAACUGUCCCAGGCAGAAAGGAUAAGGCUUGGCAUCAUCUUCCUGCCUAUUUCACAAACAUCCCUGUAUGUCAGCUGGGCACUUGAUACCUGGUCUGUCAGGGAUGCUCUCCAUAGCGAAGGUUGCUAGAACAAGGAACUUGCUGUCAGAUGGAUUUUAUUCCUUCUGGGGACUCCACACCUCUAAAGUGCUUUUGCAAUGGGAAACUUACCAUUGGAACCUUCUAUAGAGGGAUCUCUUUACACUGUUAGUCUCUCACAACGCCUUCAGGGUUUGGCAUUGUAAGCCCAUCUGAAAACCAGUCAUUUCAAAUAUUUUGAGGACCUAAGAACUUGUCCUUUCAAGUGCUUUUAGUGAUUUUGACCUGACUGUGAGCUAUUGUGACCAUGGAGUAUUGUUUCCUGAGGCCUGGCUGCAAGAGCUUCUUCUUUACAAGGAGCUAUUGUGAGGGAGGAAAGCAAAGGCAUUGUGUCCUCCAUGGUAAUAAUGAACUAAGUCUUCUUCCUCAUUACCCUCACAUAGAAUUAUCUUGUUCUGUGUGCUUUCAAUUUUUAAAGGUCUGACUGGUCAGAAAGACGACUAAUAUGAAGUGGCUCCAACUCCAGUGUGAAAAGGGAGUAUCUGUUGAAUGGCCAGUUGCUGCCCAUGUCCAGCAGCUGCAGCGUCCCAUGCCAGCAGGGCCAUUUGCAGGACGACCAAGCUCCCAUGCAGCUUGCAUGACAAACUGUGUGGUCAUUGGAUGAUAGCUCCCAUAACAAACUGUGUGGUUAGUAUGCUGCUUUCUGGGCAUGCCACAGGGACAGCACCUCACACCAGUGACCAACUCAUACUGACAAAAGACAGCAGGAAUCCCACAGUCAUCAUCUAACACAUGCUGGAUAUAUGCAGUUCAGGAAACCAAUCUCUUUUUCAGCAGUGCUUCUUUUAAGUGGAAUUAUGAUCGACCUACUGUAAAUGUAUUGGUUUGAAGAGGCUGCAGUAUACUAAGCUCUGCAUAAUGGAUGAGGAAAAGCUUUCCAUUUCUCCCUAUCUGAAGCAGAUGCACCCUACAGACCGUGCAUAAAAUAUAUAGGAACAACAUCAUGCUGGAA